RNAcentral lists this ribosomal RNA (679 nucleotides) under uncultured Alphaproteobacteria bacterium. Its description in RNAcentral is "bacterial SSU rRNA". It matches the Rfam family "Bacterial small subunit ribosomal RNA", at positions 89 to 802 of the family's 1533-position model. Lineage: Bacteria; Pseudomonadati; Pseudomonadota; Alphaproteobacteria. The record is from RNAcentral.
UACUUAGUGGCAGACGGGUGAGUAACAUGUAGGUAUCUUCCCUUUGGUGAGGAAUAACACGAGGAAACUUGUGCUAAUACCUCAUAAGUCUUUACGGAGAAAGCUUUAUGCGCCAAUGGAUGAGCCUGCACUUGAUUAGUUUGUUGGUGGGGUAAUGGCCUACCAAGACUUUAAUCAAUAGCUGAUCUGAGAGGAUGAUCAGCCACAUUGGGACUGAGACACGGCCCAAACUCCUACGGGAGGCAGCAGUAGGGAAUAUUGCACAAUGGAGGAAACUCUGAUGCAGCGAUGCCGCGUGAGUGAAGAAGGCCUUUGGGCUGUAAAGCUCUUUCGUCGGGGAAGAAAAUGACGGUACCCGAAUAAGAAGGUCCGGCUAACUUCGUGCCAGCAGCCGCGGUAAUACGAAGGGACCUAGCGUAGUUCGGAAUUACUGGGCUUAAAGAGUUCGUAGGUGGUUAAAAAAGUUGGUUGUGAAAUCCCGAAGCUUAACUUCGGAACUGCAAUCAAAACUUUUUAGCUAGAGUAUGAUAGAGGAAAGCAGAAUUUCUAGUGUAGAGGUGAAAUUCGUAGAUAUUAGAAAGAAUACCAAUUGCGAAGGCAGCUUUCUGGAUCAUUACUGACGCUGAGGAACGAAAGCAUGGGUAGCGAAGAGGAUUAGAUACCCUCGUAGUCCAUGCCG